Molecule: transfer RNA, 68 nt
Filed under: Marmota monax (woodchuck)
Lineage: Eukaryota; Metazoa; Chordata; Mammalia; Rodentia; Sciuridae
Description: tRNA.Ala
Source: RNAcentral
GGAUUGUGGCUCAGUGGUUGAGCGCUUGUCUAGCACGUGCAAGCCCUGGGGUUCGAUCCUCAGCACCA